This 293-nucleotide long non-coding RNA is filed under the name Salvia miltiorrhiza (redroot sage). RNAcentral describes it as "long non-coding RNA (SMIL_LNC013670)". The record is from RNAcentral. Lineage: Eukaryota; Viridiplantae; Streptophyta; Magnoliopsida; Lamiales; Lamiaceae.
AAAUCAAGUAAAACAAGUUUAAAUGAUAAAAAUAAUCAAGCGUCCUGGAUAUCUCAAAGCUUCAAUUUAUCAAAAUAAAUAAAAAAUUAAUUAUAUUAUAUUUAUCAAUCAAUACUAAUUCUACAAAGUAAACGCCCAUAAAGUUGAUAAAGCAUUAAUCCUAUGUUACAAUCUAAUAAGAUUGAGAUGUUCUGACCUACAAAAAAAAAAAAAAAAGAAAAAAGAAAAGAAGCAAGAAACUACUAACAUGUUCUGAUUUUAAUAGACGGGAAUCUGCAUUAGGUCAUCAUAAU